CGUGAGCGGCGGACGGGUGAGUAACGCGUGGGUAACUUGCCUCAUACAGGGGGAUAACAGUUGGAAACGGCUGCUAAUACCGCAUAAGCGCACAGUACCGCAUGGUACGGUGUGAAAAACUCCGGUGGUAUGAGAUGGACCCGCGUCUGAUUAGGUAAUUGGUGGGGUAACGGCCUACCAAGCCGACGAUCAGUAGCCGACCUGAGAGGGUGACCGGCCACAUUGGGACUGAGACACGGCCCAA
RNAcentral lists this ribosomal RNA (244 nucleotides) under uncultured bacterium. Its description in RNAcentral is "partial 16S ribosomal RNA". It matches the Rfam family "Bacterial small subunit ribosomal RNA", at positions 90 to 334 of the family's 1533-position model. The record is from RNAcentral.